GCCCAAAGCUGAAGGAAAUUUUAAACUAGGCAACUGACAUUUUGGUAAUCUUUUCUUGUACACUUCUAUUUACUAAGCUGAUCUCCUUUAUUUAAUCAUAUUGUUUUAAUACAUUUUUGUUUGUUUUUAACAGAAAAUUAAGAAAUAAGCAUAAAAAAAAUUGUUGAAUUGAAAUCACAUGGCAAAAUUCAGAUCUGGAUAGAUGUUUUUCUUUUGGUAUUUUAGCCUACGUUUUACAGUUACGUUUCCAAUUCAACACAGUUCACUUUCUAAU
This is a non-coding RNA of Pelobates cultripes (western spadefoot toad), 274 nucleotides long. NCBI's taxonomy places the organism in Eukaryota, Metazoa, Chordata, Amphibia, Anura, Pelobatidae. The record is from the annotation of a GenBank genome assembly.